AAUGUAUUCUCGGUAAAAGUCGGAUAAUCGACGGUAACGUCGUCAAAUUUUCAGGGGGGAAAAAUGCCGACUCCUUCGACGACGAUGGAGCUGGAAAAAUUUGUUCACGUCGGCGGACGCUCUCCGGUGGUUCUUACACAUCGCUAGUCGUAGAUCAGCCUCCCACACCAUCAAGGAGAGGCUCGGAGGGAGCAGUUACGGAGCUUCGAGAGCGAGGGAGGCCCCACUUCGGGGAUAGAGGACGAGAGCAACAAGUUGCCCGAAGGCAACCUGUCCUUGUGUUAUCACGCCAGCUUUUACGUAGAAAUUUCCACGAAAGGAUGAGAUUCGAAGAAAAGAGGUGAGUGGGGAUGAGGAGAAAUGGUGCGGUGCAAGACGUUGUUUCACUUUUUCUUUUCUUCGUUUGAGGAAAAAGAAAUGCGGCUCACGUAAAAGAGUCCGAAAAAUAAGUUGGAAGAACUUACCCCUCGUGCAGCAGAAUCUCCACUAACCGCACUCGCAUCGCUUCCGUUUCGUUCUUGACGAACGUAGGAAAGACUUUGCUGGACUUGAGAUUUACCGAUAAAAUUUCUCGACGUGCUUUGAGACGGGGGCGAAGACGACGACGACGAUGAGAAUGAUGUUUUUGGGUUCUCGGCACCUACGCCAUUAUCUGCAGAAAGUCUAAGUCCCGAAUUUUCGGAACUCUUGGAAACGUUAACCUCCUGCAUCACAGUCUAUCUGAUAUCUG
This 730-nucleotide unclassified non-coding RNA is filed under the name Athalia rosae (coleseed sawfly). RNAcentral's name for it is "misc RNA ENSAEAG00005011319.1". The record is from RNAcentral. Lineage: Eukaryota; Metazoa; Arthropoda; Insecta; Hymenoptera; Athaliidae.